Molecule: long non-coding RNA, 1079 nt
Filed under: Salvator merianae (Argentine black and white tegu)
Lineage: Eukaryota; Metazoa; Chordata; Lepidosauria; Squamata; Teiidae
Description: lncRNA (ENSSMRG00000008569.1)
Source: RNAcentral
GCAGAAGACAAAGGCCAAACUUUCACCUGCUCUUGACUCCCUAUGAAUGGCCUUUAGAGGCAUCUUGCCUCUCUCUCCAAUUUGGAGAUAGUAUCUGGGCAUCCAUUCUAGUAUCCAUUGAUAUACCUGAUCUCCAUGAAUUUGCUUAAACCAUAAAAACAUAAGAGAAGCCCUGCUAGAUCAAGCCACAACCCAGCAAGGGUUGCCAAAAGCUGUAGAAAAUCUGCCAAACAUAAGAUACACCUGUUCCCCCCACCCCUUUUCCUAUGGCUAAGUUAAUUGGUUUGGCAAUUUCUGUGGCCAGUUUUGAGCAUUCUCAAGCAGAAGACAAUGGCAAACUCCUCACCUGCUGCCUAUGCAAGGAACAGCACAUUCUUGUGGGCAGCUUUGCUGGAAAUUUUUCAUCUAUAAACAGCCCGUUUCUUGUUACCAUCCAGAAGAAACAAGGAAAGAAUGUUGCAUCUCGCAUUAAUGCACGAUUUCAUCUGGAAAGAGCACCUAGCCUCAACAUGCUGUUCUGCUCUGAAAACAGAGAUCUUCCUUUGGCACUGAACUAUGUGUUAUACUUCCAUUGAUAUGAGCACCAGCCACUUGCGAGAUCUGGAGAAAUUAUUUGCAGAGAAAAAUGCAAUGGUGGGUGCCAUACAAGAGACAAAUUAGCUGGUCAUUUUCCCUGCUGCAUAUUAUGCACUGAACCUUAAAAGAGUUUCANAUGAGGAGAAUGGAGGAUUUCACUGUAUGUUUAUGUUUGGGAAGGCAGAGUUGCGAAAUGGUUAGAACCUCAGCGAUCAAGUUCCUGGGUGACAGAAAAAGAGUUUAGGCUGUGUUGAGGAGACUCUGGGAAAAAGUAUGGAUGUUCAUUGUGGAAACUUUGCACUCUGCUGUGAAGCUUUUCUUUGGGGGGGGGAGGGGGAAUUGAUUUAAGAAUUAUAUGACCAGACUGCAGAAUUUAACACAGAGGACAGGGAGCUGAUGAUGAAAUUCUGCAAUGAAUUCUAUUCACCCAUUUUGCUCAGUGUCUUGCUCAAAGGUUGCUGACUCAUCUUAUUCCUCCUGGCAAACAAUGUGUUGUAUUGAAA